This 76-nucleotide transfer RNA is filed under the name Clostridiales bacterium. RNAcentral's name for it is "tRNA-Lys". It matches the Rfam family "tRNA". From Rfam's summary of the family: Transfer RNA (tRNA) molecules are approximately 80 nucleotides in length. Their secondary structure includes four short double-helical elements and three loops (D, anti-codon, and T loops). The record is from RNAcentral. Lineage: Bacteria; Bacillati; Bacillota; Clostridia; Eubacteriales.
GCACCUUUAGCUCAGCUGGCAGAGCAAUUGACUCUUAAUCAAUAGGUCCUGGGUUCGAGCCCCAGAAGGUGCACCA